AAUCUACUCUUUUCGUCCCAAAAUUCUUAUUUUAGAUUUAUCUAAAUACGGAUGUAUCAAGUCACGUUUUAGUAUUAGGUACAUCUAUAUCUAGACAAAUCUAAGACAAGAAUUUUGGAACGGAAGGAGUAUUAU
Molecule: non-coding RNA, 135 nt
Organism: Triticum aestivum (bread wheat)
Lineage: Eukaryota; Viridiplantae; Streptophyta; Magnoliopsida; Poales; Poaceae
Source: Rfam